This 347-nucleotide ribosomal RNA is filed under the name uncultured bacterium. Its description in RNAcentral is "partial 16S ribosomal RNA". It matches the Rfam family "Bacterial small subunit ribosomal RNA", at positions 338 to 696 of the family's 1533-position model. The record is from RNAcentral.
CCUACGGGAGGCAGCAGUCGAGAAUCAUUCACAAUGGGGGAAACCCUGAUGGUGCGACGCCGCGUGGGGGAAUGAAGGUCUUCGGAUUGUAAACCCCUGUCAUGUGGGAGCAAAUUAAAAAGAUAGUACCACAAGAGGAAGAGACGGCUAACUCUGUGCCAGCAGCCGCGGUAAUACAGAGGUCUCAAGCGUUGUUCGGAAUCACUGGGCGUAAAGCGUGCGUAGGCGGUUUCGUAAGUCGUGUGUGAAAGGGGGGGGCUCAACCCGAGGACGGCACGUGAUACGGGGAGACUAGAGUAGAGGAGAGGAGGGCGGAAUUCGUGGUGGAGAGGUGAAAUGCGAAGAUA